This is a microRNA precursor of Hucho hucho (huchen), 62 nucleotides long. The record is from Ensembl. NCBI's taxonomy places the organism in Eukaryota, Metazoa, Chordata, Actinopteri, Salmoniformes, Salmonidae.
GACUUGGUCAAAGCUCCUCAGCAGAUGUUUCAGAGAAUCCUGAGGCGUUUAGAACAAGUUCA